UAAUACAUGCAAGUCGAGCGAACGGACAGGAGUGCUUGCACUCCUUGAAGUUAGCGGCGGACGGGUGAGUAACACGUGGGUAACCUACCUAUAAGACUGGGAUAACUUCGGGAAACCGGAGCUAAUACCGGAUAAUAUAUACCUCCGCAUGGAGGAAUAGUCAAAGACGGUUCUGCUGUCACUUAUAGAUGGACCCGCGGUGUAUUAGCUAGUUGGUGAGGUAACGGCUCACCAAGGCAACGAUACAUAGCCGACCUGAGAGGGUGAUCGGCCACACUGGGACUGAGACACGGCCCAGACUCCUACGGGAGGCAGCAGUAGGGAAUCUUCCGCAAUGGACGAAAGUCUGACGGAGCAACGCCGCGUGAGUGAAGAAGGUUUUCGGAUCGUAAAACUCUGUUGUAAGG
Molecule: ribosomal RNA, 407 nt
Filed under: uncultured Macrococcus sp.
Lineage: Bacteria; Bacillati; Bacillota; Bacilli; Caryophanales; Staphylococcaceae
Description: bacterial SSU rRNA
Rfam family: Bacterial small subunit ribosomal RNA
Source: RNAcentral